AACGCAUAUUGCACUCCUUUUUGGAGUAUGCCUGUUUGAGAAUCUAUAGUAACUUUUCUACAGUAUUAAUCAAUUGUAGAAGAUUUGGCGUUUCUUUACAUUUGUAUAGUACGCUUAAACUUAUAGCUAGUCACUUUUAAGAGUGCCAAAGCAAAAAUGUUUGAAACUCAUAUUCGAGUAAUUAACCUACAUUUUUACUUUGCGAUAAAACACUCUGAUAGUAACUAGCUCACCCGAGGUUCUAUUUUGAACCCAAGGAGGCUACCAAAAUAGCCCGAACCAUGGUCUCAAAUCAGGUAGGAGGACCCGCUGAACUUAA
Molecule: unclassified non-coding RNA, 319 nt
Filed under: uncultured fungus
Lineage: Eukaryota; Fungi
Description: partial contains 5.8S ribosomal RNA, internal transcribed spacer 2, and large subunit ribosomal RNA
Source: RNAcentral